AAGUCGUAACAAGGUUUCCGUAGGUGAACCUGCGGAAGGAUCAUUAACACGUAUCCACGUAUCUACCUCUUGCGAACUUGUUUUGUUUAUAGUUAUGCUAGAUAUUUUUUUGAGGAAGCAGAUGGCCAUGUCGGAAUCGUCCUUCUGUUCUGCUUGCCUUCCACCUAAUGUUGAGUGCUAGUGUAUUGAGAUCUGAAAUUUAAAUCGUCCUUUAAAUAUUCAGUCCUGCUAGCCUUUUAAGACUCCAUUUGGGAUGGGUAUCUGGUGCAACUCGAAUCAUGGUGGUUUAUUAACCAUUAACCCCUUUUUCAAUAUUUUGUCUUAGUGAGUGGUUUCUUUUUUUCUUUUGUGGAAAAAAAGACCCCUCCCCAAAAAAAUAACAAAGAUACAACUCUUAGCAACGGAUAUCUCGGUUCU
RNAcentral lists this unclassified non-coding RNA (417 nucleotides) under fungal sp. RNAcentral describes it as "partial internal transcribed spacer region". The stretch from base 1 to 46 matches the Rfam family "Eukaryotic small subunit ribosomal RNA", at positions 1786 to 1831 of the family's 1831-position model. The record is from RNAcentral. Lineage: Eukaryota; Fungi.